RNAcentral lists this long non-coding RNA (997 nucleotides) under Salmo salar (Atlantic salmon). Its description in RNAcentral is "lncRNA (ENSSSAG00000104765.1)". The record is from RNAcentral. Lineage: Eukaryota; Metazoa; Chordata; Actinopteri; Salmoniformes; Salmonidae.
GUUUUAUAGUUAACUUGGCUUAGUUUAGUUCAGAUUGCGAGAAAAAAAAUUGUUUGGGGGGGAUGUUUUGGUUGGGCCAAUAUUGUUGAAGAGAGCGUUGAGAGCCAUGUGUUCUUUUGGUUCAGUUAGCUUGGAAGCUAAAUUUAUUUAACAAUUCCUUCUGGGUUUUUCUGGGUUUUUGUUCAAGUGGGAGUCCUCUCCUGUUCAGGCUUAUCAGCGAGUGUCAAUAGGAGGCUCGUGGUGUUUUUGUUUUAGGUGGCAGUGAACGUGGGUAGAGCUUCCCUUUUCCCCUACAUCGGCUCGGGAGCACCUCUGUGGUUAUAGGGGGGGCCGCCAGUUCUGCUUGUCUUUUCCACUCCACUGGUUUUGUGUGCAUAAAACCCCACCACAUGUGACUGCACGAAGACCAGGGCCAGUUACUUAGUUGUUUUUGGAGGAUAUUGGGGUGUGGCUCCUGUUCUUGAACCCAGACUGACAGCAGAAUACUUCAAAAUGAGAAGAUCCUGCCAUGGAAAAGACGACUAGGUGGACAUAAAGUGGAAAGGAGGGGAAAUAACUCGCACUAUGCAGCAGGACACCUUCAGCUGUGGGAUGGCCAAGGAAGUUGCAUAGAACUUCCCCAACAUCCCCUCUCAAAUUGAUAUGGAACCUUCAAAAACACAUGGAGCAACUGCGAAAAGAAAUGGCUGAGAAUUUACUAAAAAUGUCUGAGUUCAACAAAGCCAACAACUGCGUCAUGUGUGCCACUGAUAAAGAACCUGGAUGUGGCCCAAAGACUGACUGGUGUGCUGUGCCUAGGAAUGAAGACAAGAGUUCAACAGAGUAAAGAACACAAACUGGAAGUGCUGUCUUUGUUGUUGAAAAUGUAUGCUAUACCCCAGCCACACUGAAGAGGCUCUGAAAUGUACAUCAACCAGGGAUAAAGAGAAAGUUAACACUGUGAAAUGUUUCUUACUUAAUUGAAGUUAUGUCUCUGACAUGUUGAAAAAGAUUAAAG